This 320-nucleotide unclassified non-coding RNA is filed under the name plant metagenome. Its description in RNAcentral is "partial contains 5.8S ribosomal RNA, internal transcribed spacer 2, and large subunit ribosomal RNA". The stretch from base 1 to 105 matches the Rfam family "5.8S ribosomal RNA", at positions 50 to 154 of the family's 154-position model. The record is from RNAcentral.
GAAAUGCGAUAAGUAAUGUGAAUUGCAGAAUUCAGUGAAUCAUCGAAUCUUUGAACGCACAUUGCGCCCGCCAGUAUUCUGGCGGGCAUGCCUGUUCGAGCGUCAUUACAACCCUCAGGCCCCCGGGCCUGGCGUUGGGGAUCGGCGGAAGCCCCCUGCGGGCACAACGCCGUCCCCCAAAUACAGUGGCGGACCCGCCGCAGCUUCCAUUGCGUAGUAGCUAACACCUCGCAACUGGAGAGCGGCGCGGCCACGCCGUAAAACACCCAACUUCUGAAUGUUGACCUCGAAUCAGGUAGGAAUACCCGCUGAACUUAAGC